This 3266-nucleotide long non-coding RNA is filed under the name Lactuca sativa (garden lettuce). RNAcentral's name for it is "long non-coding RNA (LSAT_LNC010141)". Lineage: Eukaryota; Viridiplantae; Streptophyta; Magnoliopsida; Asterales; Asteraceae. The record is from RNAcentral.
UUGUUUUAUUCUUGAGUUCAACAUUAGAAGUCUAUGAAAUUUAGCAAAGUUUUGAUGAGCAUUGUUUAAUUCUUGAGUUCCACAAUAGAAGUCUAUGCACUUUAGGCAAAGCUUUGAUGAGCAUUGUUUCAUUAUUGAGUUCCACAUUAUAAGUCUAUGCAAUUUAGCAAAGCUUUGAUGAGCAUUGUUUAAUUCUUGAGUUCCACAAUAGAAGUAGUAUUCGUAAUUUAGCAAGGCUUUGACGAGCAAUUCUUUAUUCUUGAGUUACACAAUAGUAGUCUAUGCAAUUUAAGCAAAGCAUUGACGAGCAGUGUUUCAUUCUUGAUUUCCACAUUUGAGGUCUACACAAUUUUGCAAAGCUUUGAUGAGCAUCGUUUCAUUCUUGAGUUCCACAAUAGAAGUCUAUGCAAUUUAAGCAAAGCAUUGAUAAGCAUUGUUUUGUUCUUGAGUUCCACAAUAGAAGUCUAUGCAAUUUAGCAAAGCUAUCUUAAGCAUUGUUUCAUUCUUGGGUUCCACAUUAGAAGUCUUUGCAAUUUAGCAAAGCAUUGAUGAGCAUUGAUUAGUUCUUGAGUUCCACAAUAGAAGUAGUCUUUGCAAUUUAUCAAAGCUUUGAUGAGCAUUAUUUAAUUCCUGAGUUCCACAAUAGAAGUGGAUGUAAUUUAACAAAGCUUUGAAGAGCAUUGUUUCAUUCUUGAGUUUCACAUUAGAAGUCUAUUGAAUUUAGCAAAGCUUUGAUGAGCAUUGUUUAAUUCGUCAGUUCCAUAAUAGUAGUCUUCGCAAUUUAGCAAGGCUUUGAAGAGCAUUUCUUUAUUCUUGAGUUCCACAAUAUAAGUCUAUGCAAUUUAAGCAAAGCUUUGAUGAGCAUUGUUUUAUUAUUGUGUUCCACAUUAGAAGUCUAUGCAAUUUAGCGAAGCUUUGAUGAGUAUCCUUUAAUUGUGUUCCUCAAUAGAACUCUAUAAAAUUUAAGCAAAGCUUUUAUUAGCAUUGUUUGAUUCUUGAGUACAACAAAAGAAGUCUAUGCAAUUUAGCAAAGCAUUCAUGAGCAUUCUUUCAUUCUUGGGUUCCACAUUAGAAGUGUAUGCAAUUUAGCAAUGCUUUGAUGAGAAUUGCUUAAUACUUGAGUUCCACAAUAGAAGUCUAUGCAAUUUAGCAAAGCCUUGAUGAGCAUUAUUUAAUUCUUGAGUUCCACAAUAGAAGUAGUCGUUGCAAUUUAAUAAAGCUUUGAUGAGCAUUGUUUAAUUCUUUGGUUCCACAAUAGAAGUGUAUGCAAUUUUUGCAAAGCUUUGAUGAGCAUUGUUUCUUUCUUUAGUUCCACAUUAGAAGUCUAUGCAAUUCAGAAAAGCUUUGAUGAACAUUUUUUAUUGAGUUCCACAAUAGAAGUGGUCUUCGUAAUUUAGCAAAGCUUUGAUGAGUAUUGUUUAGUUCUUGAGUUCCAUAAUAGAAGUAGUCUUCGCAAUUUAGCGAAGCUUUGAUGAGCAUUUCUUUAUUUUUGAGUUCCACAAUAGUAGUCUAUGCAAUUUAAGCAAAGCUUUGACGAGAAUUGUUUCAUUCAUGAGUUCCACAUUACAAGUCUACGCACAUUGGCAUAGCUUGGAUGAGCAGCGUUUCGUUCUUGAGUUCCACAAUAGAAGUCUAUGCAAUUUAAGCAAAGCUUUGAUGAGCAUUGUUUGAUUCUUGAGUUCCACAAUAGAUCUCUAUUCAAUUUUGCAAAGCUUUCAUGAGCAAUGUUUCAUUCUUGGGUUCCACAUUAGAUGUCUAUGCAAUUUAGCAAAGCAUUGAUGACCAAUGUUUAGUUCUUGAGUUCCACAAUAGAAGAGUCUUUGCAAUUUAGCAAAGCUUCGAUGAGCAUUGUUUAAUUCUUGAGUUUCACAAUAGAAGUGAAUGCAAUUUAAAAAAAAGCUUAGCUGAGGAUUGUUUUAUUCUUGAGUUCAACAUUAGAAGUCUAUGAAAUUUAGCAAAGUUUUGAUGAGCAUUGUUUAAUUCUUGAGUUCCACAAUAGAAGUCUAUGCACUUUAAGCAAAGCUUUGAUGAGCAUUGUUUCAUUAUUAAGUUCCACAUUAUAAGUCUAUGCAAUUUAGCAAAGCUUUGAUGAGCAUUGUUUAAUUCUUGAUUUCCACAAUAGAAGUAGUAUUCGUAAUUUAGCAAGGCUUUGACGAGCAAUUCUUUAUUCUUGAGUUACACAAUAGUAGUCUAUGCAAUUUAAGCAAAGCAUUGACGAGCAGUGUUUCAUUCUUGAUUUCCACAUUUGAGGUCUACGCAAUUUUGCAAAGCUUUGAUGAGCAUCGUUUCAUUCUUGAGUUCCACAAUAGAAGUCUAUGCAAUUUAAGCAAAGCAUUGAUAAGCAUUGUUUUGUUCUUGAGUUCCACAAUAGAAGUCUAUGCAAUUUAGCAAAGCUAUCUUAAGCAUUGUUUCAUUCUUGGGUUCCACAUUAGAAGUCUUUGCAAUUUAGCAAAGCAUUGAUUAGUUCUUGAGUUCCACAAUAGAAGUAGUCUUUGUAAUUUAUCAAAGCUUUGAUGAGCAUUAUUUAAUUCUUGAGUUCCACAAUAGAAGUGGAUGUAAUUUAACAAAGCUUUGAAGAGCAUUGUUUCAUUCUUGAGUUUCACAUUAGAAGUCUAUUGAAUUUAGCAAAGCUUUGAUGAGCAUUAUUUAAUUCUUGAGCUCCAUAAUAGUAGUCUUCGCAAUUUAGCAAGGCUUUGAAGAGCAUUUCUUUAUUCUUGAGUUCCACAAUAUAAGUCUAUGUAAUUUAAGCAAAGCUUUGAUGAGCAUUGUUUUAUUCUUGUGUUCCACAUUAGAAGUCUAUGCAAUUUAGCGAAGCUUUGAUGAGCAUCGUUUUAUUGUGUUCCAUAAUAGAAGUAUAUAAAAUUUAAGCAAAGCUUUGAUUAGCAUUGUUUGAUUCUUGAGUUCAACAAUAGAUGUCUAUGCAAUUUAGCAAAGCAUUCAUGAGCAUUCUUUCAUUCUUGGGUUCCACAUUAGAAGUCUAUGCAAUUUAGCAAUGCUUCGAUGAGCAUUGCUUAAUACUUGAGUUCCACAAUAGAAGUCUAUGCAAUUUAGCAAAGCAUUGAUGAGCAUUAUUUCAUUCUUGAGUUCCACAAUAGAAGUAGUCGUUGCAAUUUAAUAAAGCUUUGAUGAGCAUUGUUUAAUUCUUUGGUUCCACAAUAGAAGUGUAUGCAAUUUUUGCAAAGCUUUGAUGAGCAUUGUUUCUUUCUUUAGUUCCACAUUAGAAGUCUAUGCAAUUCAGAAAAGCUUUGAUGAACAUUUUUUAUUGA